Molecule: non-coding RNA, 25 nt
Filed under: Cricetulus griseus (Chinese hamster)
Lineage: Eukaryota; Metazoa; Chordata; Mammalia; Rodentia; Cricetidae
Source: RNAcentral
ACCACCGUAAUUGUAACUGAGGCAU